Molecule: non-coding RNA, 499 nt
Organism: Pelobates cultripes (western spadefoot toad)
Lineage: Eukaryota; Metazoa; Chordata; Amphibia; Anura; Pelobatidae
Source: the annotation of a GenBank genome assembly
AUCACGCACAUGCACAUUAGGUCCCUCCAGUGGCUGACGUGGCGGAGGCUCACCCAGCGCAGAGGGACAUCGGCAUUGGAUUCAUGUAAGUGAUGGAAGGGUUUUUAUCCAUUCCAGCGCCACAGGUGGGGGGCCACAAGGCAAGGGUAGGUCACAACUUUGAUUUCCUAGCACUAUAGUUUUCCUUUAAGAGAACCUCAUUACUGCAGGUUACUAGUGAUAUCACGGGGGAGGCAUAUUUUAUAAAUUUCUGUGUCUCUAAUUAAAGGACCACUAUAGUGCCAGGAAAACACUAGUUUCCCUGGCACUAUAGGGUCCUUGGGUCCUUGGGUUAAUCCCUUACCUUUCUCCAGCGCUGGGCUCCCUCGGCGCUGAGGACUCUCCUCCUUUCCCGUCAUGGCUGAAUGUGCAUGCGCGGCAAGAGCCGCGCGCGCAUUCAGUCAGUCUCAUAGGAAAGCAUUCUCAAUGCUUUCCUAUGGACGCUGGCAUCUUCUCACUG